This 256-nucleotide ribosomal RNA is filed under the name uncultured bacterium. Its description in RNAcentral is "partial 16S ribosomal RNA". It matches the Rfam family "Bacterial small subunit ribosomal RNA", at positions 524 to 776 of the family's 1533-position model. The record is from RNAcentral.
UACGGAGGGUGCGAGCGUUGUCCGGAAUCAUUGGGCGUAAAGGGCGCGUAGGUGGCCCGGUCAGUCUUUGGUGAAAGCGCGGGGGCUCAACCCCUGCGUCGGCCAGGGAUACUGCCGCGGCUCGAGCACUGUAGAGGCAGGCGGAAUUCCGGGUGUAGCGGUGGAAUGCGUAGAGAUCCGGAAGAACACCGGUGGCGAAGGCGGGUCUCUGGGCCGAAAUUGACGCUGAGGAGCGAAAGCGUGGGGAGCAAACAGG